CCAACCCCCCGACCGCCCCACAAAUAAUACCAAACAAGGUACCCUACCUAACCACCACAAAUUAUAAAGCAUGUAAUUAAACGAACUUUAUUUUUUCGAUUUUUAACUUGUCAAUUCAUUAAAUGCACUUAUAAUUAAUGUUUGCACUUAAAAAUACAGAACUGAACUUAAAAAUAAAUAUUUGCACUUUGAAAAAUGAA
Molecule: long non-coding RNA, 200 nt
Organism: Dalotia coriaria
Lineage: Eukaryota; Metazoa; Arthropoda; Insecta; Coleoptera; Staphylinidae
Exons: 2
Source: RefSeq, a predicted model, not a curated record